Long non-coding RNA from Vombatus ursinus (common wombat), 1011 nucleotides. RefSeq lists it as uncharacterized. The record is from RefSeq and is a predicted model, not a curated record. Lineage: Eukaryota; Metazoa; Chordata; Mammalia; Diprotodontia; Vombatidae. The transcript is spliced from 3 exons.
GUGUGUUUAUCCGGUUGAGGACCGAAGACUGAUGAGUCGUGAACGCCUGGAGAAUUGGAACUGUUGUUGCUUUCCUUUUUAUCCUCAGCACAUAGCAUAUUGUCUGGCAUACAGCAGGUACUUCUGGAAAACAAAACGUCCCAGUCCUUCAAAAUCUCCCUUCCUCUUAACCACUACAAAAGAGGACUCCUCCGGACCGGGGAGGUUCAAGGAAGUAGUCCCUUUCUCUUUAUCCUAUCAGAUAAAACCACUUAGGAGGCUCUUAGCAAGGACUCAUUAACUGACUGACAAAGAAGGUUUAGUUUUCUUUGGUCUAACGUAAGUGGAUCUGCCACCCAGGGCACCUUCUUUCCUUUGUAACAGUUUAAAAGCAUCUUCUUUUGUUAUGCUAAGUACUUUGUCCCCAGCUGUACCCGUUUGAUCCAAAAUGCUGCCCAAGAAGGUCUCUCUCGUAUGUAAUAUGUAAUAUGUAAAUGUCCUCUUCCGAAUUAUGGGACACACGUUUGCAACAGAAUGUGUAGGAAUGUAUAUAUGCGUAUAGAGAGUAUGAAUAAAUCGCUGUUUACUUCUGUCUCCUACGCUGGCUUAUUUUCUGGCAGCAGCAGCUAAUCAGGACUCUAAGAAAAGUCGCCUAAUGCCACGCUCCUGCACAGAACAGUACUUCCCUCGGAGUCUCGCCUCCUUUGCUUACGCUUGUGGCAGGUCUCCAGCUGUCGGCUUGGCUCAGGGACUCUAGACCUGGCACCCCUUUUAUUUUUAAAGGACUAACCAGCCCCGCCCGCUCUUUCUCCUCUCAGUAGCCUCUGCCCUCCUCCUCCAAUCGGCGUCUGUACUUAGGGGCCAUGGCUUUGUGGGAAACCGAGUCUUUCCACUCCUCGCGUACAUUGCGCACAUAGCCAUUGGGCCUAGAUGAUCCUCCAAAGCGCUUCCAGCAACGAUUCCACUCCCCAAAGCCAGGGGGCGCUGUGCCUUCUGCUUCCCCGCCGUGCCCUCUCGCUUUUCUAGCCAUCA